GCAAGUCGAACGAUGAACACUUCGGUGGGGAUUAGUGGCGAACGGGUGAGUAACACGUGGGCAAUCUGCCCUGCACUCUGGGACAAGCCCUGGAAACGGGGUCUAAUACCGGAUAUGAGCCUGGGAGGCAUCUCCCGGGUUGUAAAGCUCCGGCGGUGCAGGAUGAGCCCGCGGCCUAUCAGCUUGUUGGUGAGGUAACGGCUCACCAAGGCGACGACGGGUAGCCGGCCUGAGAGGGCGACCGGCCACACUGGGACUGAGACACGGCCCAGACUCCUACGGGAGGCAGCAGUGGGGAAUAUUGCACAAUGGGCGCAAGCCUGAUGCAGCGACGCCGCGUGAGGGAUGACGGCCUUCGGGUUGUAAACCUCUUUCAGCAGGGAAGAAGCGAGAGUGACGGUACCUGCAGAAGAAGCGCCGGCUAACUACGUGCCAGCAGCCGCGGUAAUACGUAGGGCGCAAGCGUUGUCCGGAAUUAUUGGGCGUAAAGAGCUCGUAGGCGGCUUGUCACGUCGGUUGUGAAAGCCCGGGGCUUAACCCCGGGUCUGCAGUCGAUACGGGCAGGCUAGAGUUCGGUAGGGGAGAUCGGAAUUCCUGGUGUAGCGGUGAAAUGCGCAGAUAUCAGGAGGAACACCGGUGGCGAAGGCGGAUCUCUGGGCCGAUACUGACGCUGAGGAGCGAAGCU
RNAcentral lists this ribosomal RNA (685 nucleotides) under Streptomyces sp. RNAcentral's name for it is "bacterial SSU rRNA". It matches the Rfam family "Bacterial small subunit ribosomal RNA", at positions 57 to 761 of the family's 1533-position model. The record is from RNAcentral. Lineage: Bacteria; Bacillati; Actinomycetota; Actinomycetes; Kitasatosporales; Streptomycetaceae.